This 854-nucleotide ribosomal RNA is filed under the name Exserohilum holmii. RNAcentral's name for it is "eukaryotic LSU rRNA". It matches the Rfam family "Eukaryotic large subunit ribosomal RNA", at positions 69 to 941 of the family's 3401-position model. The record is from RNAcentral. Lineage: Eukaryota; Fungi; Ascomycota; Dothideomycetes; Pleosporales; Pleosporaceae.
CAGGGAUUGCCCUAGUAACGGCGAGUGAAGCGGCAACAGCUCAAAUUUGAAAUCUGGCUCUUUCAGAGUCCGAGUUGUAAUUUGCAGAGGGCGCUUUGGCUUUGGCAGCGGUCCAAGUUCCUUGGAACAGGACGUCACAGAGGGUGAGAAUCCCGUACGUGGUCGCUAGCUAUUGCCGUGUAAAGCCCCUUCGACGAGUCGAGUUGUUUGGGAAUGCAGCUCUAAAUGGGAGGUAAAUUUCUUCUAAAGCUAAAUAUUGGCCAGAGACCGAUAGCGCACAAGUAGAGUGAUCGAAAGAUGAAAAGCACUUUGGAAAGAGAGUCAAACAGCACGUGAAAUUGUUGAAAGGGAAGCGCUUGCAGCCAGACUUGCUUGCAGUUGCUCAUCCGGGCUUUUGCCCGGUGCACUCUUCUGCAGGCAGGCCAGCAUCAGUUUGGGCGGUGGGAUAAAGGUCUCUGUCAUGUACCUCUCUUCGGGGAGGCCUUAUAGGGGAGGCGACAUACCACCAGCCUAGACUGAGGUCCGCGCAUCUGCUAGGAUGCUGGCGUAAUGGCUGUAAGCGGCCCGUCUUGAAACACGGACCAAGGAGUCUAACAUCUAUGCGAGUGUUUGGGUGUCAAGCCCGAGCGCGUAAUGAAAGUGAACGGAGGUGGGAACCCGCAAGGGUGCACCAUCGACCGAUCCUGAAGUUUACGGAAGGAUUUGAGUAAGAGCAUGGCUGUUGGGACCCGAAAGAUGGUGAACUAUGCUUGAAUAGGGUGAAGCCAGAGGAAACUCUGGUGGAGGCUCGCAGCGGUUCUGACGUGCAAAUCGAUCGUCAAAUUUGGGCAUAGGGGCGAAAGACUAAUCGAACU